GUGACUUUUAGACAUUUGCGGAAACUAGGUCUACACUUAGGAUUACACCUUAGACUUACGAUUACAGUUAAAAAAAAACAAAGGGUCAUCUCAAAAUGAAAACAAAAAAAAAAAACAAAAAAUAAAGAUACAUAGUAAAAUGAUUUUUUUCAUUAUGUAAAUAAGUCUUUACGGCGGCAAACGAAGGCAGCGCAUGUGGUCACAAUAGAUGUUAAUCGCUGUCGUGGAUGUCUCUACAAAGUCCCCAUAACUUUAUAUUUUUUUAAUUCUCCGAUUGCGUGUUCAACCUUAACUCUAUAAUGGGUUAUCAGUCUAUUUAACUUUCUACAUUUUCUCUGCAUAUUCCGG
Molecule: long non-coding RNA, 348 nt
Filed under: Mytilus galloprovincialis (Mediterranean mussel)
Lineage: Eukaryota; Metazoa; Mollusca; Bivalvia; Mytilida; Mytilidae
Source: RNAcentral